ACGGGAGGCAGCAGUAGGGAAUCUUCGGCAAUGGGGGCAACCCUGACCGAGCAACGCCGCGUGAGUGAAGAAGGUUUUCGGAUCGUAAAGCUCUGUUGUAAGAGAAGAACGUGUGUGAGAGUGGAAAGUUCACACAGUGACGGUAACUUACCAGAAAGGGACGGCUAACUACGUGCCAGCAGCCGCGGUAAUACGUAGGUCCCGAGCGUUGUCCGGAUUUAUUGGGCGUAAAGCGAGCGCAGGCGGUUUAAUAAGUCUGAAGUUAAAGGCAGUGGCUUAACCAUUGUUCGCUUUGGAAACUGUUAAACUUGAGUGCAGAAGGGGAGAGUGGAAUUCCAUGUGUAGCGGUGAAAUGCGUAGAUAUAUGGAGGAACACCGGUGGCGAAAGCGGCUCUCUGGUCUGUAACUGACGCUGAGGCUCGAAAGCGUGGGGAGCAAACAGGAUUAGAUACCCUGGUA
RNAcentral lists this ribosomal RNA (459 nucleotides) under uncultured Streptococcus sp. RNAcentral describes it as "bacterial SSU rRNA". It matches the Rfam family "Bacterial small subunit ribosomal RNA", at positions 341 to 792 of the family's 1533-position model. RNAcentral also lists the same sequence under 1 other name. Lineage: Bacteria; Bacillati; Bacillota; Bacilli; Lactobacillales; Streptococcaceae. The record is from RNAcentral.